GAGAAAAAGAGGAAAGAAGAAAGAGGAGAAGAAGGCAGAGAUAAAGUGCCGUGUCUCAAAAGCGUGCAGGCGUCCCUUGAGAAUGACACCCUGGUUCCUAAGUGACAGAUGAAGAUACUGAGGGACACAGAAGCCAGGCCACCUGCCCCGCUGUGAGAGGGUGCCCCGUGCACAUCCCUAGGCCUCUGGAGAGCUCCCCCGCAGACUCACCCUCACCCCCUCACCUCCCUCGUGGAAAUGCUGAUCCCAGAACUCACCUUGAGGCCACAGGUGGUCACGGUCCUCAGUGGCCUCCCUCGUUCCUGGUGCUGGAGAGAGGGACAGGCAGGUAAGUGGGAAUCCUGAGACUUAGAAGGGAC
Physeter macrocephalus (sperm whale) is the source of this 359-nucleotide long non-coding RNA. RefSeq lists it as uncharacterized. Lineage: Eukaryota; Metazoa; Chordata; Mammalia; Artiodactyla; Physeteridae. The transcript has 3 exons. The record is from RefSeq and is a predicted model, not a curated record.